AUUGAACGCUGGCGGCAGGCCUAACACACGCAAGUCGAGCGGAUGAAGGGAGCUUGCUCCUGGAUUCAGCGGCGGACGGGUGAGUAAUGCCUAGGAAUCUGCCUGGUAGUGGGGGAUAACGUCCGGAAACGGGCGCUAAUACCGCAUACGUCCUGAGGGAGAAAGUGGGGGAUCUUCGGACCUCACGCUAUCAGAUGAGCCUAGGUCGGAUUAGCUAGUUGGUGGGGUAAAGGCCUACCAAGGCGACGAUCCGUAACUGGUCUGAGAGGAUGAUCAGUCACACUGGAACUGAGACACGGUCCAGACUCCUACGGGAGGCAGCAGUGGGGAAUAUUGGACAAUGGGCGAAGGCCUGAUCCAGCCAUGCCGCGUGUGUGAAGAAGGUCUUCGGAUUGUAAAGCACUUUAAGUUGGGAGGAAGGGCAGUAAGUUAAUACCUUGCUGUUUUGACGUUACCAACAGAAUAAGCACCGGCUAACUUCGUG
RNAcentral lists this ribosomal RNA (484 nucleotides) under uncultured bacterium. RNAcentral describes it as "partial 16S ribosomal RNA". It matches the Rfam family "Bacterial small subunit ribosomal RNA", at positions 30 to 507 of the family's 1533-position model. The record is from RNAcentral.